Drosophila pseudoobscura is the source of this 233-nucleotide long non-coding RNA. RefSeq lists it as uncharacterized. NCBI's taxonomy places the organism in Eukaryota, Metazoa, Arthropoda, Insecta, Diptera, Drosophilidae. The transcript has 2 exons. The record is from RefSeq and is a predicted model, not a curated record.
CGUUAUUUUCAAUUUCAUUUCAUAAUACAAGUGUCGGCAAACAAUUACUGAUCCUUUUUGUCCAGUAAAGCCCAGGAAAGCACAUUAAAACCUCACCUAAACUGCAGGUUGAAAAUCCCAUAAGGACGGAAAGCAUGUGGCAAGUACGUCACAUUGUCGUUCGUUCCUCUGCUGGUCGCACUCCAGAAACUCUUGAAACAGGAUCUGACGAGAGGAAGGACACCGAGCAGAAG